GCUAAACUUCAGCGUCACAUCACUGAAUCACUAAACAAGCUGAGCAGGAAGUCGUCCUGAAGCCAGUAAGGUUCUUUCCUGAAAAGGAAUGAAGGAUCUUUCACAGCAGUUCCACACAGAAAGUCAGCAAGCGAUGAUUUUUUCCGAUUUUAUCAUAUGGACUAACUUCAUGUUCUGCCUUCCUUUGACCUUAGUGGUCAUCUGUUGGUUGUGUUGCUUGGUACGAAAGGAGCAUGUGAUCUAUUUCACUAACCUGCUCAUUGCCAAUCUCGUCCACAUCAGCAUAAUGUUCACCUGGCAGUUGAAGCGAGGAUCUUUAAUUGAACAAGAUGACAUUAUUUGCAUAGCUGGUUUGACGGCUAGUUGGUAUUUCAAGACAUACAUUGCUAUUGAAAGGUGUUUUGUUAUCACCUGCCCAAAGUUGAAGUGCAGCAGACAAACUAAGGGGUCCAUGCUGGUUUCUCUCUUGAUUUGGAUCCUUUGUAUUGCAACUGUAUUUCCUACUGUAGUCUUCAAGAAGUUUCUUAUCCUCUAUAUUUUUGCCCUCCUUCCAGCUCUCCUGUUCAUCCUGUUUUUAGUAUGGACCUUUCACGCCUUGGCUGCUGACACCUUAGUGACCACUGAUGAAAAACAAAGAAUUGUACGAAUUUUCCUUUUGUUCUUCUUUAAUUAUUUUCUGAUGAUCCUUCCCGGUGUCAUCUGUUCUCUUGGAGUAUUUUUGGAUAACGACUGCUUUAAAGUUAUCGCUGAUAAACUUUUAACUUUGUUGCUUCUCGGCCCUUUUCUGGAUUUGAUUCUGGUUUGUUUCAUGCGUAUAAGAUGCAGAUUCGACAACACUGCAGCAGACGUAGCUGAACAUCGGCAGCCAGGUUGGGUGAUGUCGCAAAUACUAAGGGACAGAGAAAAUAGGAUACAAACUGUGUGAAAGAUGUGGAUAAAAUAUGCAAACAAAAACAUUUACAAAUAUUGCUGUAAAGGAGACAACUGACAGGGAGUUUUACUUGAUGUAUAUAAGAAGUGUGUUCUCAGCUAACGUUUCUUUGGUUGUCGACCACCUGAAACUCAGUUACUAGAAGUUACUCUUCACAGGAAGCAUCUUAAUGAUGAUUUAUGAAGGAAUUUUAAAAAAUUUAAAAUUUAAAAUUAAAAAAAAUUGCAUUUCUUAUCUGAUGUAGUGAUGCAUAACAAUGUAAAGCUAAAGCCAUGAACCACUGUUUGACUUAUUGUGCUGUAUUUUUUCUACACAGACUGUUGUUCAGAUCAUAACUUUAUGCAUGACAGCUUUUACUGUCAUAGACUGUGGAUUUUGUCAGUUCAUUUUUGAGCCAUUAAUAUUUGGUAUUGUUGAGUUUUGAUUACUAUUUGACUGGGUUUCCUUAUUUUAUUUUAAGAUUAUUCUAGCAUUCUGAGUUCUGUUUUAGAGUUAUAAUUUUGAAAUAUGUAGCCUUAUAAUUUGGUAUUUGAGUCUUUGUUUUACUUGACUUUAGUAAAAAACUUCUGUGUUUCUCUAUUUUGCUGAUUCUUUUUUGUUUGUUUAGUUACUUCAUGUUUUAUUUUGUGAGUUCUUUGUCUCUUGUGCCUUGUCUUUAGUUUGACUUCCCUGUGACUUGUUCUCUAGAUUGAGUUCAGCUAUGUCUUGGUACAUUUAUGUUUCCAUUCUCCCUGACUGUCUUUUUCGUGUAUUUAAAGUUAAAGUGUUCUCCUGCUUUGGGUUUAUUAUCAUCUUCACAUAAUCUUUUCCUGUUUAAUCUGGUCAUCUGGGUGACAAGACCCGCUGGAGAUUGUAAAAAGAAAGGAAAAAAACUGCAAAACCCCCCAACAAACAAAGUAUCUUAUUUUUUCUGAAAAACUCGUAACUCUGUCAAGGGGAAACCUGCGUUGAUAUAAGAUUAGAACAUGAUUUUGUGUCAUUUAAAUGCUCCAUAAGGAUAUUGUACUAGGUUAUUCAGUUUAGUGCAUGUUAAACUGGUUGGUUUCCAGUGUUGUUGUGCAGUUUACAGAGCCAUCUGUGGUGUUCAUGGUAAAACGCAGAUCAAGGGCAGAUCCAACGAUUUUGAUGUUUGUGAAGUUUUGCCACAAGAGUCAGGGGUUUUGUAACUGUAGUUUUGAGAAAAGAAAAUCUGUCUUCUCAGAAAAACUGUAUUUGAGUGUUAGCCACUUGACUUUGAAUUACUGUGUGCUGCAUUUUUAGAUUUUGAAUGUCAACUUCUUUCUAUAUUUACUGUGUCUGAGUCUGUCAUAUGUGUUACUUUCAGUGAAACCUUUUAUCUUCUCCUCCAUUUUUGUCUUCUGAUUUCAAAUCUACAGAAGAACAAUGUUGAAAUGGAUUUGCCACCAGCUGCUUUACCAACACACAGACUCUUUAGUGAAGAAAGUAGUGAACUAUUAAAUAAAUGCAUCAGACAGAAAGCUGACUUGAUGAUUUAUUAAUUAUGAGCGAAAUUUAUAUGUGCCUCACUUGUUACAGUUACACAGCUAGCUUAAACAUUAUAUUUUACAGGACUGCAUCCUCCAAGGAACAGACAGACUGUGGUGUUUUACAUAAUUGUAUUUUUUUAAAAAUACCUUUCCGUGCAGAAUUUGAAAUUUCAGUAUGCUUGUGUGUGUUUCCUCAGCUGUUUUGGUUUCAUCCCACAGUCCAAGUUUACUUAAAUUGAACACAAAAUAAUGUUAUGCAAGAUAAUCUUUUAAGACUUUUCUAUGCUAAAUGAUUUUUAUAUCAUAUAUUCAUGAAGU
Maylandia zebra (zebra mbuna) is the source of this 2736-nucleotide long non-coding RNA. RefSeq lists it as uncharacterized. NCBI's taxonomy places the organism in Eukaryota, Metazoa, Chordata, Actinopteri, Cichliformes, Cichlidae. The record is from RefSeq and is a predicted model, not a curated record.